UACGGGGGGGGCAAGCGUUGUUCGGAAUUACUGGGCGUAAAGGGCGCGCAGGCGGCUGCUCAAGUCAGGCGUGAAAGGCCUGGGCUCAACCCGGGAAUUGCGCUUGAGACUGGGCUGGCUUGAGUGCGGGAGAGGAUGGUGGAAUUCCCAGUGUAGAGGUGAAAUUCGUAGAUAUUGGGAAGAACACCGGUGGCGAAGGCGGCCAUCUGGACCGCAACUGACGCUGAGGCACGAAAGCGUGGGGAGCAAACAGG
RNAcentral lists this ribosomal RNA (254 nucleotides) under uncultured bacterium. Its description in RNAcentral is "partial 16S ribosomal RNA". It matches the Rfam family "Bacterial small subunit ribosomal RNA", at positions 524 to 776 of the family's 1533-position model. The record is from RNAcentral.